Molecule: non-coding RNA, 1092 nt
Organism: Zootermopsis nevadensis
Lineage: Eukaryota; Metazoa; Arthropoda; Insecta; Blattodea; Termopsidae
Source: RefSeq, a predicted model, not a curated record
ACAGUCUGCCACUACUCAUGUAGUUCACAUAGAACUUAGGCUGCGGUCACACUGCAAGCGUAUACGCGCGAACUGACGGUCGGGCGUUAUCGGGCGAACUACCAAACACGUUACAAGGCCUGUAACCGGUCACACUGCAAGCGAAGUUAUCGCUCGACAUCGCUCGUCGUUCAAACAGGUGAAACUGCAAAGUCUAAAUGGAAGAAUCUACGUGAUACGUUUAGACGGGAGUUUCAAAAACUCCAACAAAGAAAACACACUGGUGACAGUGGUGGUACAAGGAUGUCAAGCACCUGGCCCUAUUUCGAAAAUUUACUUUUUUUAUCGGACCAGAUGACUCCAAGGGCAUCCUGUGGGAAUAUUCCAGAAGUCUCUGCAGUUUAUGACAGUAGCACUGAUAAUAAAGAAAUUGAGACGGGCGAGACUACAACUGAACAAUCCUGUGAUAUCGGGGAGUUGGCAGAACAAGGUUCCCAAAAUAUAAUUCCGACUGAUAAAAAGCCAACGAAGAAACGUAGGCAAAAUAUUGAAGAACAAUUACUAACAUUGGAACAAGAAAAAUUGAAGAUUUUAAAAAUGAAAUAUGAUAAUUCAGCUUCAGUCUCUCUGGAGGAAGACAGUGACUAUCAAUUUUUAGUAAGUUUACUGCCUUUUUUAAAAAAAAGUCAGUCCAAGCAGAAAGAUGAGAGUCCGCAUGAAAUUACAAGAAGUUUUCAUAGAAGACGAAGCGUUAUCUUCAGGAUCAUCAUCAGUAGUGGCGUCCACACCCUUCUCCUUUCAUUCACACACUGCCAAUUCAGAAAGUGGUGAUUCAUAUCAACAGAAUGAUUUUGGUCAUUCAUCAUCACUUCCAAAUUACUUUAGCACUUUUCAGUAAAUAAUUAUCAAUGAAAAAAUGAACGAAUGUUUUGCUGUAUUGUAAAUUGUUAAUAAUAGAUUAUAUUUUGGUUUCUUAAUAUUUGUAUUUUUUUUUGAAAAUUAAUAAAAUAAAAAUGUAAAAGGAAAAUAUAACAAAGAUAAAAUAAGUAUGGAAAAUCUUACCUCAGUGCCACUGUUAACCAUUCUGAUGGUGAAAUACAGUUUCGGAAAUUA